RNAcentral lists this ribosomal RNA (359 nucleotides) under uncultured Spongiobacter sp. Its description in RNAcentral is "bacterial SSU rRNA". It matches the Rfam family "Bacterial small subunit ribosomal RNA", at positions 1 to 348 of the family's 1533-position model. Lineage: Bacteria; Pseudomonadati; Pseudomonadota; Gammaproteobacteria. The record is from RNAcentral.
UAGAGUUUGAUCAUGGCUCAGAUUGAACGCUGGCGGCAGGCCUAACACAUGCAAGUCGAGCGGUAGCGGGAAGAGCUUGCUCUUUGCCGACGAGCGGCGGACGGGUGCGUAACACGUAGGAAUCUGCCCGGUAGUGGGGGAUAGCCCGGAGAAAUCCGGAUUAAUACCGCAUACGCACUAGCUCUUUAAGAGCGGUGGAAAGCAGGGGAUCGGUUCGCCGACCUUGCGCUAUCGGAUGAGCCUGCGUCGGAUUAGCUUGUUGGUGGGGUAAAGGCCCACCAAGGCAACGAUCCGUAGCUGGUCUGAGAGGAUGAUCAGCCACACUGGGACUGAGACACGGCCCAGACUCCUACGGGAGG